Molecule: ribosomal RNA, 442 nt
Filed under: uncultured bacterium
Lineage: Bacteria
Description: partial 16S ribosomal RNA
Rfam family: Bacterial small subunit ribosomal RNA
Source: RNAcentral
CCUACGGGUGGCAGCAGUGGGGAAUAUUGGGCAAUGGGCGCAAGCCUGACCCAGCAACGCCGCGUGAAGGAAGAAGGCUUUCGGGUUGUACACUUCUUUUAAUAGGGAAGAACAGAGGACGGUACCUCUUGAAUAAACCACGGCUAACUACGUGCCAGCAGCCGCGGUAAUACGUAGGUGGCAAGCGUUGUCCGGAUUUACUGGGUGUAAAGGGCGUGUAGGCGGGCUGACAAGUCAGAUGUGAAAUCCCGUGGCUCAACCACGGAACUGCAUUUGAAACUGUCGGUCUUGAGUAUCGGAGAGGCAGGCGGAAUUCCUAGUGUAGCGGUGAAAUGCGUAGAUAUUAGGAGGAACACCAGUGGCGAAGGCGGCCUGCUGGACGAUAACUGACGGUGAGGCGCGAAAGCGUGGGGAGCAAACAGGAUUAGAUACCCCUGUAGUC